Molecule: small RNA, 26 nt
Filed under: Bombyx mori (domestic silkworm)
Lineage: Eukaryota; Metazoa; Arthropoda; Insecta; Lepidoptera; Bombycidae
Description: ovarian small RNA-27652
Source: RNAcentral
UCCGUUUGCCUUCCGCGGUGUAUGGA